This is a non-coding RNA of Xyrichtys novacula (pearly razorfish), 311 nucleotides long. The record is from the annotation of a GenBank genome assembly. Lineage: Eukaryota; Metazoa; Chordata; Actinopteri; Labriformes; Labridae.
CAUCCAUCCAUCUUUGCAUCCAUCCAUCCAUCCAUCAGUUCCACUCAGAGGGAGGUCUGUUUUUGAUAAUCUAAAGAUGAAAAUGUGACUUUAUCUUCAGGAGUCACUCGAAGACGUUUACAGGAUCAUCAGGUUUGAAGGUCAGAGAUGGUCGGAGAGCGUCUGGUGAUGAUGUCAUGGUUUGCUGGUUUUGGUCUGUACAUCCGGUUUGUUUUAUAAAAAAAAGAGAGAGAGAGAGAGAGAGACAUCAGCAAUCGUCCGUCUGCUCCUCUUCAGCUGAAGAAAUCUUUAGAAAUGGCCUCCACACAGUU